RNAcentral lists this ribosomal RNA (465 nucleotides) under uncultured bacterium. RNAcentral describes it as "partial 16S ribosomal RNA". It matches the Rfam family "Bacterial small subunit ribosomal RNA", at positions 28 to 507 of the family's 1533-position model. The record is from RNAcentral.
GACGAACGCUGGCGGCGUGCUUAACGCAUGCAAGUCGAACGGAAAGGCCCUGCUUGCAGGGUACUCGAGUGGCGAACGGGUGAGUAACACGUGGGUGAUCUGCCCUGCACUUCGGGAUAAGCCUGGGAAACUGGGUCUAAUACCGGAUAGGAGCCAUUUUUAGUGUGAUGGUUGGAAAGUUUUUUCGGUGUAGGAUGAGCUCGCGGCCUAUCAGCUUGUUGGUGGGGUAAUGGCCUACCAAGGCGGCGACGGGUAGCCGGCCUGAGAGGGUGGACGGCCACAUUGGGACUGAGAUACGGCCCAGACUCCUACGGGAGGCAGCAGUGGGGAAUAUGGCACAAUGGGCGCAAGCCUGAUGCAGCGACGCCGCGGGGGGGAUGACGGCCUUCGGGUUGUAAACUCCUUUCGCUAGGGACGAAGCUUUUUGUGACGGUACCUAGAGAAGAAGCACCGGCUAACUACGUG